Molecule: ribosomal RNA, 654 nt
Filed under: Janibacter melonis
Lineage: Bacteria; Bacillati; Actinomycetota; Actinomycetes; Micrococcales; Intrasporangiaceae
Description: bacterial SSU rRNA
Rfam family: Bacterial small subunit ribosomal RNA
Source: RNAcentral
CCUGGUAGUCCAUGCCGUAAACGUUGGGCGCUAGGUGUGGGACUCAUUCCACGAGUUCCGUGCCGCAGCUAACGCAUUAAGCGCCCCGCCUGGGGAGUACGGCCGCAAGGCUAAAACUCAAAGGAAUUGACGGGGGCCCGCACAAGCGGCGGAGCAUGCGGAUUAAUUCGAUGCAACGCGAAGAACCUUACCAAGGCUUGACAUAUACCGGAAACAUCCAGAGAUGGGUGCCCCUUUUGGUCGGUAUACAGGUGGUGCAUGGUUGUCGUCAGCUCGUGUCGUGAGAUGUUGGGUUAAGUCCCGCAACGAGCGCAACCCUCGUUCUAUGUUGCCAGCACGUAAAGGUGGGGACUCAUAGGAGACUGCCGGGGUCAACUCGGAGGAAGGUGGGGAUGACGUCAAAUCAUCAUGCCCCUUAUGUCUUGGGCUUCACGCAUGCUACAAUGGCCGGUACAAAGGGGUGCGAUACCGCAAGGUGGAGCGAAUCCCAAAAAACCGGUCUCAGUUCGGAUUGGGGUCUGCAACUCGACCCCAUGAAGUCGGAGUCGCUAGUAAUCGCAGAUCAGCAACGCUGCGGUGAAUACGUUCCCGGGCCUUGUACACACCGCCCGUCAAGUCACGAAAGUCGGUAACACCCGAAGCCGGUGGCCCAAC